GCCUUCAUUGUCAGAACGCCUAUAUCGCGAACAGGGUAUUAAUACGAAGGAUUUAUUAGGGCACAAAACGCAACAACAGACCGAUAAAUAUCACGAUGACCGCGGUAAAGAUUGGAUAAAAAUUGUGAUCUAAAAUACCUGAGUUUUGAUAAAUUGUUUUGAUAACUUUUUGAUAACCGUUACUCACGUUAUAAUAAAACAACGGGAACCAUUAAGCCCCCGUUAUCUAUUUC
RNAcentral lists this small RNA (233 nucleotides) under Xenorhabdus eapokensis. Its description in RNAcentral is "STnc150". The record is from RNAcentral. Lineage: Bacteria; Pseudomonadati; Pseudomonadota; Gammaproteobacteria; Enterobacterales; Morganellaceae.